AAAUGAACAUGGAAUAAGAUGGAAAAACUCAGUGUAGUAAAUAUUACAGCUAAGCUUCAUUCUAAAUGCUCAUGCCAAGGGUAAUAUAUUAUGUUUGUUCUCAUAAAGUACAGUAGUGCAAAUUAACAUGGAAUAGGAUGGAAAUACUCAGUGUUGUAAAUAUUACAGCUAAGCUUCAUUCUAAAUGCUCAUGCCAAAGGUAAUAUAUUAUGUUUGUUCUCAUAAAGUACAGUAGUGCAAAUUAACAUGGAAUAGGAUGGAAAUACUCAGUGUUGUAAAUAUUACAGCUAAGCUUCAUUCUAAAUGCUCAUGCCAAAGGUAAUAUAUUAUGUUUGUUCUCAUAAAGUACAGUAGUGCAAAUUAACAUGGAAUAGGAUGGAAAUACUCAGUGUUGUAAAUAUUACAGCUAAGCUUCAUUCUAAAUGCUUAUGCCAAAGGUAAUAUAUUAUGUUUGUUCUCAUAAAGUAGUGCAAAUUAACAUGGGAUAGGAUGGAAAUACUCAGUGUUGUAAAUUUUACAGCUAAGCUUCAUUCUAAAUGCUCAUGCCAAAGGCAAUAUAUUUUGUUUGUUCUCAUGAAAUAGGAUUUUAUACCUUGGAAACAGUAUCUGUUAGAAUUAGAUAUCCUCAUGACCAAAAUUAUACUCACUAUUAAAGGUGAUAUAGGUAAUGACACUCUCUCUCUCUCUCUCUCUCUCUCUCUCUCUCUCUCUCUCUCUCUCUCUCUCUCUCUCUCUCUCUCUAACACA
Molecule: long non-coding RNA, 747 nt
Organism: Eriocheir sinensis (Chinese mitten crab)
Lineage: Eukaryota; Metazoa; Arthropoda; Malacostraca; Decapoda; Varunidae
Exons: 2
Source: RefSeq, a predicted model, not a curated record